UUAAGUUCAGCGGGUAUCCCUACCUGAUCCGAGGUCAACCUUGAGGUGUUGGGUUUUGGAGGCUUGCGACCUGUUACCGAGUAGCGGGAAGUUUUUACUAACGCCAACGGUUCACAGACCACAGCCGACCAGUUUAGAUCGCGCCCCCCGGGGAGGGGGGUGACAAUCAAUGCCAAGCAGAGCUUGAUGGUUGAUAAUGA
RNAcentral lists this unclassified non-coding RNA (200 nucleotides) under Herpotrichiellaceae sp. RNAcentral's name for it is "partial internal transcribed spacer 2". Lineage: Eukaryota; Fungi; Ascomycota; Eurotiomycetes; Chaetothyriales; Herpotrichiellaceae. The record is from RNAcentral.